This is a long non-coding RNA of Juglans microcarpa x Juglans regia, 390 nucleotides long. RefSeq lists it as uncharacterized. The record is from RefSeq and is a predicted model, not a curated record. Lineage: Eukaryota; Viridiplantae; Streptophyta; Magnoliopsida; Fagales; Juglandaceae. The transcript has 2 exons.
UCAGAUAUCCAUUAUAUUGGUAAAUAAGCUGUCAUGAACAGUCAAAUUAACCCAGAAAGAUUCAGCCCGAACGGCAGGCAUCCAGGGGGAAACCAAGGGAAUAUUCAGUGUGGUGCAUGCGAGGGAGAAUUUUGCAGGAAAACAAAGAUGAUUUUUAGCUCUCAGCAGUUAAAUCCUAUGCUUAUAAUGGCUCUUUUAAACCCCACACUGAAAGACGUGAAAAUAGAUGGAAACAUUUUAAUAUCCAACACAUCCAGUCAUUGAGUUGAAACCUUGGGUAGUAAAAACUAUCUUGGCACCGUAAUAUCCGGUCCACAAAAGACAUUCUAAAGCAACAUUGCUCGAAGGUUUAGAUAGAUACAUUACUUUCCUAUGUCAAAAAAACAAAAA